This 85-nucleotide transfer RNA is filed under the name Felis catus (domestic cat). It matches the Rfam family "tRNA". Rfam says of the family: Transfer RNA (tRNA) molecules are approximately 80 nucleotides in length. Their secondary structure includes four short double-helical elements and three loops (D, anti-codon, and T loops). Lineage: Eukaryota; Metazoa; Chordata; Mammalia; Carnivora; Felidae. The record is from Rfam by way of RNAcentral.
GCCUGGCUGGCUGAGUCGGUUGAGCCCCCGACUUCGGCUCAGGUCAUGACCUCACAGUUCGUGGGUUCGAGUCCCGCGUCGGGCU